RNAcentral lists this ribosomal RNA (373 nucleotides) under uncultured organism. RNAcentral describes it as "partial 16S ribosomal RNA". It matches the Rfam family "Bacterial small subunit ribosomal RNA", at positions 527 to 896 of the family's 1533-position model. The record is from RNAcentral.
GUAGGUGGCAAGCGUUGUCCGGAAUUAUUGGGCGUAAAGCGCGCGCAGGCGGUUCUUUAAGUCUGAUGUGAAAGCCCGCGGCUCAACCGUGGAGGGUCAUUGGAAACUGGAGAACUUGGGUACAGAAGAGGAAAGCGGAAUUCCACGUGUAGCGGUGAAAUGCGUAGAGAUGUGGAGGAACACCAGUGGCGAAGGCGGCUUUCUGGUCUGUAACUGACGCUGAGGCGCGAAGGCGUGGGGAGCAAACAGGGAUUAGAUACCCUGGUAGUCCACGCCGUAAACGAUGAGUGCUAAGUGUUAGGGGGUUUCCCGCCCCCUUAGUGCUGCAGCUAACGCAUUAAGCACUCCGCCUGGGGAUACGGCCGCAAGGCUG